This 75-nucleotide transfer RNA is filed under the name Candidatus Omnitrophota bacterium. Its description in RNAcentral is "Candidatus Omnitrophica bacterium (groundwater metagenome) tRNA-Asp". It matches the Rfam family "tRNA". Rfam says of the family: Transfer RNA (tRNA) molecules are approximately 80 nucleotides in length. Their secondary structure includes four short double-helical elements and three loops (D, anti-codon, and T loops). Lineage: Bacteria; Pseudomonadati; Candidatus Omnitrophota. The record is from RNAcentral.
GGGGACGUAGCUUAGCUGGCUUAAAGCGCUGCCCUGUCACGGCAGAGAUCGAGGGUUCGAAUCCCUUCGUCCCCG